This is a long non-coding RNA of Sycon ciliatum, 1388 nucleotides long. RefSeq lists it as uncharacterized. NCBI's taxonomy places the organism in Eukaryota, Metazoa, Porifera, Calcarea, Leucosolenida, Sycettidae. The record is from RefSeq and is a predicted model, not a curated record. The transcript is spliced from 4 exons.
CGGCUGUCGAAAGAUGAUAAUUAUGUUUGCCGACUACGAGUCUUCAAAAAGUUGCUGCGGAAGAGAAAAAAUGCAACCCGAGCGGAGUCCUGGAGACGGCGCUGCGGACCACAACUCGCUGUUCCUGGUAUCAACUGGCGUGCUGGAGUGAUGAAGCGACGCUAAAGAAAAUGCGCCUGUCUCUCUUCAAGCCGGUGCACGUUGUCGAGGUUCUCAAGACGAGCUCGCUACGAAGCAAAGACGGCGGUGUACCGUACCGUGUGGCCGCGAGAAGACUGCUGAAAUAUUUCGAGCAGGGAGCUGACUACGGCACAACGAGGAAUUCGUCCUCUCGAGAGUAACUAAUGAUGAUUUGACAGAGUGAUGUUGCUUCUGCUGGGGUCUGGGAGCACCGUGAACAAAAUCGAACAAGUAGUUCUUUUCCAGCCGAUAAAUUAAUAGAUUACAUCGUGAACUGCUACACCGUGUCGUCACAGUGAUAUCGACGGUGUCAUGGCAACACAACAACAUCGUGUUCACAGAGUGAGGUUGCCUCUGGCGGUUCGGGAGCACCGGCAGCAAAGUCAUCCCAGACCAUGGACAGGAGCCGUCCAAGAUCGACCAAAUUUUGUCCUUUACCAGGUGGUGAAUUCCGCCUUGUACAGCUACAGCAAGACGCGUCGUCACAGCGGUUGUCAACUCGACACACACCUCAACUGUGACGGUACGACUGAGUGAUGUCCCUUCUCUGCGUGGAAAUGUGUAUAACUACUUCACCUGUCUCUCGGAUAAUGGCGCGGAUCCGGGAGCAAUUGUGGUAAAGGCACUUUUCACCAUGGUGAAGUGCUCAAGACAUUUACCGGGAUCCAGGUGAGAAAGACAGUCGGCGUAUUCUGGCCGCCGUGCGCUAAAUUUGCUAAGGCCUGUGAUUGCGAGCGGGGUGACAGCAAUGCAUGCAUAUUCAAUUAUAGACAUGAUGUGUUUUGUAAUUGAGAGAGUGAUUGAGUUGAUUUGAGCCUAUUCGUUCAUCCCCGAGUAAUCGUACAGUACCAUUUUUUUAAACAUGAAUAUCAACGGACUUUCCCCUUCUGUUCACGUCUUGCCCCGGCCUAGUAAUGGUUCGUGAAUCCGCCCAGUCCACUUUCCUUCUCUGUUCUUCCCUUUCAGUUGCAUCUUCCUUUCUGCUCAGUUUUACUUUCUCUUUUCGCUCGUCCCUCUUGAUAUUUGUACUUCGUACUGUUGAGGUAAAGAACUGAAAUAAUAAAAACCAAACCAAACCCCCAUUCUUCCCCUACACACAAAGCAGUGUAUAUUUUGAUCUAAUUUCAUCCCUUUUUGGUGUACAUAGCCGGCUACAUAUCCAAACCAAAUAACUAGGCGCCCCAUACAUAAGACUAGGUUCUACUUGA